GAGAGAGACAUGCGCGCAUAUCAAUAAGCGGAGGAAAAGAAACUAACUAGGAUUCCCUUAGUAACGGCGAGUGAAGCGGGAAGAGCUCAAAUUUGAAGUCUUCAAGGUUUUACCUUGACGAAUUGUAGUUUAAAGAAGUGUUUUCUGUUGAAUUUUCGGUAAAAGUUCUUUGGAAAUAGGACAUCAAUAGAGGGUGAGAGUCCCGUAUUUGACCAUUAUUUCAGCUGUGUGAUACACUUUCAAAGAGUCGGAUUGUUUGGGAAUGCAGUCCAAAAUGGGUGGUAAAUUUCAUCUAAAGCUAAAUAUUGGCGAGAGACCGAUAGCGAACAAGUACCGUGAGGGAAAGAUGAAAAGAACUUUGAAAAGAGAGUUAAACAGUACAUGAAAUUGUCAAAAGGGAAGCGUCUGACACCAGUGUUGUUUUCUCGAAAAUCAAUUAAAAAUGGCUGGAUUUUGUGUUGUAUUGACCUUAUAAGCUUUCUGCACUUUUUUCUAUGUCUUUUUUAAUGCACUUUUCGUUUAACAAGUCAACAUCAAUUUCUUUUGUUGUAAAAAGGGUCAUUGGAAGGUGGCUUUCUUUUCGGAGAAAGUGUUUAUAGCCUUUGACUCCUGCAAUCGGAGAGACUGAGGUCUGCAGCGUAGAUUCCUUCGGGAUUAGAUUCACAUUGUGCUAAGUUAUAGCCUUUCAUAGACAACUUGUUGACUAUGAUUAGUCAUUGUAGCUUACUCGCUUAUGUAUUUUACCUACGCUUAGGAUGUUGACAGCAGUAUAGACUGU
Molecule: ribosomal RNA, 778 nt
Filed under: uncultured Neocallimastigales
Lineage: Eukaryota; Fungi; Neocallimastigomycota; Neocallimastigomycetes; Neocallimastigales
Description: partial large subunit ribosomal RNA
Rfam family: Eukaryotic large subunit ribosomal RNA
Source: RNAcentral